This 73-nucleotide transfer RNA is filed under the name Elusimicrobiota bacterium. Its description in RNAcentral is "Elusimicrobia bacterium (hot springs metagenome) tRNA-Glu". It matches the Rfam family "tRNA". From Rfam's summary of the family: Transfer RNA (tRNA) molecules are approximately 80 nucleotides in length. Their secondary structure includes four short double-helical elements and three loops (D, anti-codon, and T loops). The record is from RNAcentral. Lineage: Bacteria; Pseudomonadati; Elusimicrobiota.
GGCCCCAUAGACUAGGGGUUUAGGUCGGCGGUCUCUCAAGCCGCAAGCACGGGUUCGAAUCCCGUUGGGGCCA